Molecule: ribosomal RNA, 253 nt
Filed under: uncultured bacterium
Lineage: Bacteria
Description: partial 16S ribosomal RNA
Rfam family: Bacterial small subunit ribosomal RNA
Source: RNAcentral
UACGAAGGGGGCUAGCGUUGUUCGGAUUUACUGGGCGUAAAGCGCACGUAGGCGGACUAUUAAGUCAGGGGUGAAAUCCCGGGGCUCAACCCCGGAACUGCCUUUGAUACUGGUAGUCUUGAGUUCGAGAGAGGUGAGUGGAAUUCCGAGUGUAGAGGUGAAAUUCGUAGAUAUUCGGAGGAACACCAGUGGCGAAGGCGGCUCACUGGCUCGAUACUGACGCUGAGGUGCGACAGCGUGGGGAGCAAACAGG